Molecule: ribosomal RNA, 786 nt
Filed under: Kudoa septempunctata
Lineage: Eukaryota; Metazoa; Cnidaria; Myxozoa; Multivalvulida; Kudoidae
Description: partial 28S ribosomal RNA
Rfam family: Eukaryotic large subunit ribosomal RNA
Source: RNAcentral
UGACCUCAACUCAGGCAAGACUACCUGCUGAACUUAAGCAUAUCAGUAAGCAGAGGAAAAGAAAACAACUGUGAUUCCCUUAGUAACUGCGAGUGAAGCGGGAAAAGCCCAUCGUUUAAUCUUCCUGGACCAUGGACAGGACGAAAUGUAACGGUAUGGAUAGGUUUUCUACCAACAAAGUCUGGUCAAAGUCCUCCGGAUUGAGGUGCCAAAGAGGGUGACAGCCCCGUGUGUGAUCAGACUUGAUAUGUUGGGUAUGUGACCGAUUCCGAGAGUCGGGUUGUUUGGGACUGCAACCUAAAGUAGGUGGUAAACUCCACCCAAGGCUAAAUAUUGACACGAAACCGAUAGCGAACAAGUACUGUGAAGGAAAGUUGAAAAGAACUCUGAAAAGAGAGUUAAAAGUACGUGAAACCGCUAACGGGGAAGCGGAAGGCAGUGUCGAGAUUGAGUGAGUGAGUCGGCUCAAACUCAUUUCAAAUGAGAUUGUGUGUUGAGUGGAAUGUGAGUUUGAGUAGGCUAGCUUUGCUUGAUGCGUCAGGGCUAUUGGCACUAAAGAGGUUAAAUGGCCAGCAGUUUUGGCUUUCACAGCCAAUGAUUUAUUGUUGGCGUGGAUGCGGCUGGUCAUCCGUCUCUUGUGCUGAUAUGUGUGUGUGGAAGCGUUGGUGAUGUAUUGUCGGUUGGUGUCGUGUGGUGGUUCGUUCUGGUCACAGUGUGGCUACGUGCGGACAAGUCAUGUGGUAGUUCAACAACCAAUGCUAGAUCCUGGCGUGAUACCCAACUUUC